UACGAAGGGAGCUAGCGUUGUUCGGAAUCACUGGGCGUAAAGCGCACGUAGGCGGGUCUUUAAGUCAGGGGUGAAAUCCUGGAGCUCAACUCCAGAACUGCCUUUGAUACUGAGGAUCUUGAGUACGGGAGAGGUGAGUGGAACUGCGAGUGUAGAGGUGAAAUUCGUAGAUAUUCGCAAGAACACCAGUGGCGAAGGCGGCUCACUGGCCCGUAACUGACGCUGAGGCACGAAAGCGUGGGGAGCAAACAGG
RNAcentral lists this ribosomal RNA (253 nucleotides) under uncultured bacterium. RNAcentral's name for it is "partial 16S ribosomal RNA". It matches the Rfam family "Bacterial small subunit ribosomal RNA", at positions 524 to 776 of the family's 1533-position model. The record is from RNAcentral.